CUAACGGUAAAAGCGGAAAAGUUAGGAAGGACAACCGGGGGCGAGGGGACCCCCUUGAACAAAUAUUGCCGCUCGGGGGGAAGGCGUGGGAACCAACCAGGAUAAAUUACCUGGGUGUUCCACCCGGUAAAGGAUUCAAUAUGGAGUUUGUUCCCUGAAGGUGUGGCGUCGGGAGUUAACGAGUAAAUUCGACCCCCUGGGAGGAACGCCGCCAGGGUAAAAAUUAAAAGAAAUGGCGGGGGGCCGCCCAAAGGGUGGGGCCAUGGGGUUAAUUUGGAGCCACGCGGAGAACCUUACCAGACUCUUGACAUCCGAGGAAUUUACCAGAGAGGAUUGGGUCCUUUGGGGAAUUCUAAACCAGUGGCGGCAUGGCGUUGUUCAGUUGUGUUUGUGAAAUGUUGGUUUAAUUCCGGCAAGGGGCGCACCCUUUUUCUUUUUUUCCCAGAGGUUAGGCCGGGCACUCAAAGGAGACUGCCGGUGAUAAACCGGAGGAAGGUGGGGAUGACGUCAAGUCAUCAUGGCCCUUACGGCUAGGGCUACACACGUGCUACAAUGGCGCAUACAAAGAGAAGCCACCUCGCGAGAGCAAGCGGACCUCAUAAAGUGGAUCGUAGUCCGGAUUGCAGUCUGCAACUCGACUCCAUGAAGUCGGAAUCGCUAGUAAUCGUGGAUCAGAAUGCCACGGUGAAUACGUUCCCGGGCCUUGUACACACCGCCCGUCACACCAUGGGAGUGGGUGCACCAAGAAGUAGUUAGCUUAACCUUCGGGAGGGCGGUUACCAAUUGUUGAUCCAAAAGC
Molecule: ribosomal RNA, 799 nt
Filed under: Franconibacter daqui
Lineage: Bacteria; Pseudomonadati; Pseudomonadota; Gammaproteobacteria; Enterobacterales; Enterobacteriaceae
Description: bacterial SSU rRNA
Rfam family: Bacterial small subunit ribosomal RNA
Source: RNAcentral